UACGUAGGGUGCGAGCGUUGUCCGGAAUUAUUGGGCGUAAAGGGCUCGUAGGCGGUUUGUCACGUCGGGAGUGAAAACUCAGGGCUUAACCCUGAGCCUGCUUCCGAUACGGGCAGACUAGAGGUAUGCAGGGGAGAACGGAAUUCCUGGUGUAGCGGUGAAAUGCGCAGAUAUCAGGAGGAACACCGGUGGCGAAGGCGGUUCUCUGGGCAUUACCUGACGCUGAGGAGCGAAAGUGUGGGGAGCGAACAGG
Molecule: ribosomal RNA, 253 nt
Filed under: Nocardioides marmorisolisilvae
Lineage: Bacteria; Bacillati; Actinomycetota; Actinomycetes; Propionibacteriales; Nocardioidaceae
Also listed under: 1 other name
Description: partial 16S ribosomal RNA
Rfam family: Bacterial small subunit ribosomal RNA
Source: RNAcentral